Molecule: ribosomal RNA, 305 nt
Filed under: Clostridioides difficile
Lineage: Bacteria; Bacillati; Bacillota; Clostridia; Peptostreptococcales; Peptostreptococcaceae
Description: partial 23S ribosomal RNA
Rfam family: Bacterial large subunit ribosomal RNA
Source: RNAcentral
UUGAAGAGGUUUGGAAAGACCCACCACAGAAGGUAAUAGUCCUGUAUGUUAAACGAGAAGACUUUAGAUAUGAUCCAGAGUACCACGGGACACGUGAAACCCUGUGGGAAGCAGGAGGGACCACCCUCCAAGGCUAAAUACUACCUAGUGACCGAUAGCGUAUAGUACCGUGAGGGAAAGGUGAAAAGAACCCCGGGAGGGGAGUGAAAUAGAACCUGAAACCCUGCACUUACAAGCUGUGGAAGCACAUUUCUUGUGUGACCGCGUACUUUUUGUAGAACGGGCCAACGAGUUACGUUAAGUAG